UGUGGGAGUGAGCUUGCUCGCGAUAGCGGUUUGUCAGUCGACAUAUUCUUGGCUGACACUCCGCCAUCGCGAGCAAGCUCGCUCCCACA
RNAcentral lists this unclassified non-coding RNA (89 nucleotides) under Pseudomonas thivervalensis. Lineage: Bacteria; Pseudomonadati; Pseudomonadota; Gammaproteobacteria; Pseudomonadales; Pseudomonadaceae. The record is from RNAcentral.